AGCCGAGGCCGAUAGGCGUAGGCGAUGGACAACAGGUUGAUAUUCCUGUACCACCUCCUUACCAUUUGAGCAAUGGGGGGACGCAGUAGGAUAGGGUAAGCGUGCUGUUGGUUAUGCACGUCUAAGCAGUGAGGUGUGAAUGUAGGCAAAUCCGCAUUCUUUAACAUUGAGCUGUGAUAGCGAAGUUCUUUAGAACGAAGUUCCUGAUUUCACACUGCCAAGAAAAGCCUCUAUCGAGGUGGGAGGUACCCGUACCGCAAACCGACACAGGUAGUCGAGGAGAGAAUCCUAAGGUGUGCGAGAGAACUCUCGUUAAGGAACUCGGCAAAAUGACCCCGUAACUUCGGGAGAAGGGGUACCACAGCAAUGUGGUCGCAGUGAAAAGGCCCAGGCGACUGUUUACCAAAAACACAGGUCUCUGCUAAAGCGUAAGCUGAUGUAUAGGGGCUGACGCCUGCCCGGUGCUGGAAGGUUAAGGGGAAUGCUUAGCGCAAGCGAAGGUGUGAACUUAAGCCCCAGUAAACGGCGGCCGUAACUAUAACGGUCCUAAGGU
RNAcentral lists this ribosomal RNA (553 nucleotides) under Pseudomonas aeruginosa. RNAcentral describes it as "partial 23S ribosomal RNA". It matches the Rfam family "Bacterial large subunit ribosomal RNA", at positions 1394 to 1957 of the family's 2925-position model. Lineage: Bacteria; Pseudomonadati; Pseudomonadota; Gammaproteobacteria; Pseudomonadales; Pseudomonadaceae. The record is from RNAcentral.